This 524-nucleotide ribosomal RNA is filed under the name uncultured bacterium. RNAcentral describes it as "bacterial SSU rRNA". It matches the Rfam family "Bacterial small subunit ribosomal RNA", at positions 392 to 916 of the family's 1533-position model. The record is from RNAcentral.
CCAUGCCGCGUGGAGGAAGACGGCCCUACGGGUUGUAAACUCCUUUAGCACGGGAAUAAAGGCCGCCACGCGUGGCGGGUUGAAGGUACCGUGAGAAUAAGCAUCGGCUAACUCCGUGCCAGCAGCCGCGGUAAUACGGAGGAUGCAGGCGUUAUCCGGAUUUAUUAGGUUUAAAGGGUGCGUAGGCGGCCGGGUAAGUCAGCGUUGAAAGUCUGCGGCUCAACCGUAGAACUGGCAUUGAUACUGUCCGGCUUGGAUGCGGUGGAAGUAGGCGGAAUGUGCAGUGUAGCGGUGAAAUGCUUAGAUAUUGCACAGAACACCGAUUGCGAAGGCAGCUUACUAUACCGUUAUUGACGCUGAGGCACGAAAGCGCGGGUAUCGAACAGGAUUAGAUACCCUGGUAGUCCGCGCAGUAAACGAUGAUCACUGGUUGUUCGCGAUAGACAGUGAGCGACUGAGCGAAAGCAUUAAGUGAUCCACCUGGGGAGUACGUUCGCAAGAAUGAAACUCAAAGGAAUUGACGG